AUGUCGAUCAUCGACGACCAAAGAAGCAACGCCAACAUCUCCGACGUGAAGUACAGCUACAACGACACUAUGCUGGAGGAGGCCAGGAAACAUCACCAGAAGAUCAGCAAUGGGAAGAAGAUGAUAGGGUCAGACUCUUUCCCAGAUUUCAACUCUAGUAACGGUGACGCUGAGUUUAGUUUCCAGGCGCUAGACAUCAGGGGGCAGGCCUACCCAGUCACAAUUGGGUUACGGAUGGUCGCCGACAAUAUUCUGGCCGACGACGAUGCCUCCUCCCGGCGUUGGGUGGUCUUCGGGAGCACGCCCACCACCGCCGCGGCCCGGCGUGCGGUGGUUGACGACAUGAAGGAGGACCUGCUGAAUGUCAGCUAUGUCAUACGCUACUCCGCUCCAGGUGACAAGAUCAGGGUGCGUCCUAGCAAUGCGGCCCACUACUCAAACUAUAGCGUUGAGAAAAGAAAGAUCUUGGCAGAGGGCAUUUAUGACCGGAAGAGGGGCAUCCUGUGCAUGGUCGGCUGCCAAGAGCGCACCGGCUCGACGGAUUGUCAGACACUGGUAACGGUGCAGUUCGCUUCCCUUGGUUCCAAGGUGCCGGAGCACGGAAGUGGGGCGAUCAGCAGCCUCAGAGACAAGACCGAUCGCCUCUUCUUUGCGAAGAUCAACUUCACCAUGCACGGGAUGUACUCCGCGCAAGUGGCCAACGCCAUAUCGAGGAUGGACAUGGAAAGCGUCAUGCUUGUGGCCUCGACGACGCUCUCGUGUGUCUUCACCAUCCUGCAGAUCCUUCACACCAAGAGGAACCCGGAGGCGGCUCCGGCAACAUCGGUGACCAUGCUCGCCGUCCUCACCAUGGAGUUCCUCGCCCCUCUCGUGCUCAACUCGGAGGCCCUGUUCGCAAGCAGGAGGAGCCAGUACCAUGAGCUGCACCCCACGAGCCGGAGGAUCGAGAUGAACGAGGUCAUGAUGAGGGCGCCUACACUGAUCGCCUUCGUGUUGCAGCUGCGCCUUCUCCAGCUCGCGUGGUCCGGCCGACGCACAUCCACCAUGUCCGAGCGGACCGUGUUAUGGAUAUGCCUGCCGUUGUACGCCCUCGGAGGAAUCGUGGCCGCGGUCGUCCACGUGAUCAACGCCCGCGCCUCCACGAUCGGCAUGGCCGGAUGGCGGGUGACGAUCUGGCAGGACCUUGUGUCGUACGCGGGGCUGAUACUGGAUGGCUUCCUUCUCCCGCAGGUCAUCCUAAACGCGUCCUUGGGAGCGUCCAGAGCUCGGGCGAUCUCGCCGUGGUUUUACAUGGGGGGCACCAUGCUCCGCUUGAUGCCUCAUGCGUAUGAUGUAGUCAGGGCCCAGAUCUACAAGCCGAGCAUGCGCUCUUCCAAAUUGUACGCGAGCCCCCACGACGAUCUGUUCGGCGCCGCUUGGGACAUGGUUAUACCGUGCGGGGUGGCGUUGCUGGCCUUGUUGUUGUUCUUGCAGCAGCGACUUCCAGGCACCGAGUCACUUCCUUCGCAGAGGAGCAGAUCGAGUGGAUAUCAGAUGGUGUCUAACAUUUAA
RNAcentral lists this ribosomal RNA (1551 nucleotides) under Triticum aestivum (bread wheat). RNAcentral's name for it is "partial small subunit ribosomal RNA". Lineage: Eukaryota; Viridiplantae; Streptophyta; Magnoliopsida; Poales; Poaceae. The record is from RNAcentral.